Molecule: non-coding RNA, 215 nt
Organism: Pelobates cultripes (western spadefoot toad)
Lineage: Eukaryota; Metazoa; Chordata; Amphibia; Anura; Pelobatidae
Source: the annotation of a GenBank genome assembly
GUGCACUAUUUGACGCUGUAACGGACCGUUUUGCCCAAAAGAGGUUAAAAACCGUUUAGGUGAUAUUCCCCUUUUUCAGCUGCACCGACAGCUACUGCAAGCACCAAUCUCCUGAACUGCAAACCCAGAGAAUACUCGAAACUCCCGAACUGGAGACACACGAAUAACUGCUAGCAGACGAACAGGAAAAAAACCCAAGCGGCUUACACUCCUGG